RNAcentral lists this ribosomal RNA (253 nucleotides) under uncultured bacterium. RNAcentral's name for it is "partial 16S ribosomal RNA". It matches the Rfam family "Bacterial small subunit ribosomal RNA", at positions 524 to 776 of the family's 1533-position model. The record is from RNAcentral.
UACGUAGGGUGCGAGCGUUAAUCGGAAUUACUGGGCGUAAAGCGUGCGCAGGCGGUUUUUUAAGUCUGAUGUGAAAUCCCCGGGCUUAACCUGGGAAUGGCAUUUGGGACUGCAAGGCUUGAGUGCGGCAGAGGAGACUGGAAUUCCUGGUGUAGCAGUGAAAUGCGUAGAUAUCAGGAGGAACACCGAUGGCGAAGGCAGGUCUCUGGGCUGACACUGACGCUCAUGCACGAAAGCGUGGGGAGCAAACAGG